CAGUCGCCGCGGUAAUACGUAGGUGGCGAGCGUUGUCCGGAUUUAUUGGGCGUAAAGGGAGUGUAGGCGGUCUUUUAAGUCUGAUGUGAAGGCCCACGGCUCAACCGUGGAGGGUCAUUGGAAACUGGGAGACUUGAGUGCAGAAGAGGAGAGCGGAAUUCCAUGUGUAGCGGUGAAAUGCGUAGAUAUAUGGAGGAGCACCAGUGGCGAAGGCGGCUCUCUGGUCUGUAACUGACGCUGAGGCUCGAAAGCGUGGGGAGCAAACAGGAUUAGAUACCCCCGUAGUCCCUGUCUCUUAUAU
RNAcentral lists this ribosomal RNA (301 nucleotides) under uncultured bacterium. RNAcentral describes it as "partial 16S ribosomal RNA". It matches the Rfam family "Bacterial small subunit ribosomal RNA", at positions 509 to 809 of the family's 1533-position model. The record is from RNAcentral.